Molecule: long non-coding RNA, 947 nt
Organism: Echinops telfairi (small Madagascar hedgehog)
Lineage: Eukaryota; Metazoa; Chordata; Mammalia; Afrosoricida; Tenrecidae
Exons: 4
Source: RefSeq, a predicted model, not a curated record
ACACGUGCGGUGGAGGAAGAGGAGUGUCACUUCUGCAUGAGCAUCAGGGCCACUUGGUGUGCCAGCCAAACGUUGCUCCGCUGGAGAGUCCCAGUCUGAACCAAAAUUCCACUCCAGAAGGCAGCCAGUCACCAGCCUGCGGGGCCCAGGCAGGAUCCCACAUGCCGUGGGACCCACUUGCUCGCAGGGGAGAAGAUCUAUCACCUCAAAGGAAUUCUCUGCACCACUUACUGCUAGAAAGGCUACUGACAUUCACAAACCACUAAACUAAAAUUUCAUUUCUGGAGCCAAAACUCUGGCCUCUGUCAAGCUCUGCGUCAGAGGAAAAGAAGGAUGACACGGGGGUCCUGGGGCCUUUGGAAGUCAGCAGAGCCCAAGAAACAGUCUCGCCUCUACAGAGUUCAACUGCAGGAACAGUUGGAGAAGCUGCAUCGUUUGGUUACCCCUCGCGUAGGAUUUCAGACCUCACUGAAACGCUUCUAGCAUGACAAUAGCCUCAGGGCCGAGAAAACCCAGAGGCUUUUAAACCCGGCGUAUUACUAAACUGUACGGUGACAAGGUCAGUGACCGGAUCAUUUCUCAGUCUGUUUAGUCUUCCUGCAGUCUGACCUUGGCCUUCUGGGCAGCUGAGAGCCAGACACACAAACGCCUCUUUAGGCCCUAGGCUGCACAGUGUUCUAGAAGCAGUCAUAACCUCCCAAAUCUACUUGAUCCCUUGAUCCCUGCCCCUUGCAGGGCAGGGCCCCCGCACAGAAUGCAGGCCUUCACUUUUAUUCCAGAGCAAGAACCCAAGUCCGGUGACCGCUGCUCCGCGCUCCGAUCCGCUCAACACUGAGGUGCCUGCUUUCAGAGGAAAUGGUCUCUGGCCUAGCUGGAGUUCACUGAUAUGUAAGUGAUGAAAUCCAAAGUACAUUUGGUAUUUGGACAAAUGUCAAAUGUUUUCCCUA